This 497-nucleotide ribosomal RNA is filed under the name uncultured bacterium. Its description in RNAcentral is "partial 16S ribosomal RNA". It matches the Rfam family "Bacterial small subunit ribosomal RNA", at positions 28 to 507 of the family's 1533-position model. The record is from RNAcentral.
GAUGAACGCUGGCGGCGUGCCUAAUACAUGCAAGUCGAGCGAACAGACGAGGAGCUUGCUCCUCUGACGUUAGCGGCGGACGGGUGAGUAACACGUGGAUAACCUACCUAUAAGACUGGGAUAGCUUCGGGAAACCGGAGCUAAUACCGGAUAACAUGUUGAACCGCGUGGUUUAACAGUGAAAGACGGUCUUGCUGUCACUUAUAGAUGGAUCCGCGCCGCAUUAGCUAGUUGGUAAGGUAACGGCUUACCAAGGCAACGAUGCGUAGCCGACCUGAGAGGGUGAUCGGCCACACUGGAACUGAGACACGGUCCAGACUCCUACGGGAGGCAGCAGUAGGGAAUCUUCCGCAAUGGGCGAAAGCCUGACGGAGCAACGCCGCGUGAGUGAAGAAGGUCUUCGGAUCGUAAAACUCUGUUAUUAGGGAAGAACAAAUGUGUAAGUAACUAUGCACGUCUUGACGGUACCUAAUCAGAAAGCCACGGCUAACUACGUG